This 636-nucleotide long non-coding RNA is filed under the name Physcomitrium patens. RNAcentral describes it as "long non-coding RNA (PPAT_LNC002724)". The record is from RNAcentral. Lineage: Eukaryota; Viridiplantae; Streptophyta; Bryopsida; Funariales; Funariaceae.
UUCCAACAAGUCCAACAUGUGACUCCUCCGUUGGAUAUCGUUCGAGCUGUAAAACUAUUAUCAACCUGAUUUGAUUGACGAAUCUUCGAAACUUGGAACGUGUUCCAUCAAACUUAUCUGGAAGGCUAACUCGAGGCUCCUUAUGUUGUAGAACUAGUAGUUCUUGUCAAACCUGAGGUAAAGUUGUUUCUCCAAGUGCCGAAAUUUGAGGCUGGUGUAGUUUAGAUUGUGCUAUCCCAGAUACUCCAUCAUUAUGAAGCCUUGCCACCACUCUUUCAAUCUCUGCAGUUCUUUGUGAUAAUGUAGCGAGGGCAUUCAUAAUAGCAUCUAACUUAGACUCCAAACUUUCUGUCAUACUAAUGUCUUGACCUCCGGCCAUUCUAAAAGAAGGACAAAAAUGACCCUAUAAGAGGCAAUAUUGGUUUAUAGGAGGGUAAUCCACAACCUAUAAAACGCCUUAAGAAUUUCAAGAAGAGGAGUUAUCCACUCUCUCCAAGAAGAAUAAGACUCCAAUAUUGUAACAGAAGAAGUAUCAGUUUAGAGGAAGGUAAUCCGCAACCUCUAAAAAAUGCUAGUAUAUCUUCAAGUAGAGGGGUAAUCCACACUCUACUAAGAAAGAACUAGCUCUGAUAUCUC